UGGAGGAAAGCAGGGGAUCGUAAGACCUUGCGCUUUUGGAGUGGCCGAUGCCUGAUUAGCUAGUUGGUGGGGUAAGAGCCUACCAAGGCGACGAUCAGUAGUUGGCCUGAGAGGACGACCAGCCACACUGGGACUGAGACACGGCCCAGACUCCUACGGGAGGCAGCAGUGGGGAAUUUUGGACAAUGGGCGAAAGCCUGAUCCAGCAAUGCCGCGUGAGUGAAGAAGGCCUUCGGGUUGUAAAGCUCUUUCAGUCGAGAAGAAAAGGUUGCGACUAAUAAUCGCAACUUAUGACGGUAUCGACAGAAGAAGCACCGGCUAACUACGUGCCAGCAGCCGCGGUAAUACGUAGGGUGCGAGCGUUAAUCGGAAUUACUGGGCGUAAAGGGUGCGCAGGCGGCUCUGUAAGUCAGAUGUGA
RNAcentral lists this ribosomal RNA (419 nucleotides) under uncultured ammonia-oxidizing beta proteobacterium. RNAcentral's name for it is "bacterial SSU rRNA". It matches the Rfam family "Bacterial small subunit ribosomal RNA", at positions 197 to 597 of the family's 1533-position model. Lineage: Bacteria; Pseudomonadati; Pseudomonadota; Betaproteobacteria. The record is from RNAcentral.